Molecule: ribosomal RNA, 403 nt
Filed under: bacterium
Lineage: Bacteria
Description: partial 16S ribosomal RNA
Rfam family: Bacterial small subunit ribosomal RNA
Source: RNAcentral
UGGGGAAUAUUGCACAAUGGGGGAAACCCUGAUGCAGCGACGCCGCGUGAACGAAGAAGGUAUUCGUAUCGUAAAGUUCUGUCCUAUGGGAAGAUAAUGACAGUACCAUAGAAGAAAGCUCCGGCUAAAUACGUGCCAGCAGCCGCGGUAAUACGUAUGGAGCGAGCGUUGUCCGGAAUUAUUGGGCGUAAAGGGUACGCAGGCGGUUUAAUAAGUCGAAUGUUAAAGAUCGGGGCUCAACCCCGCAAAGCAUUGGAAACUGAUAAACUUGAGUAGUGGAGAGGAAAGUGGAAUUCCUAGUGUAGUGGUGAAAUACGUAGAUAUUAGGAGGAAUACCAGUAGCGAAGGCGACUUUCUGGACACAAGCUGACGCUGAGGUACGAAAGCGUGGGGAGCAAACAGG